UGACUUAUUGGCGAAUUCAAAAUUUUUCUGUCUUAACCUUUUGAUGUUCCACUCAACCUCUUUAUUUAUUAACAUAGCAAAUUGGGUUUGGAGGGAUUUUAUUUCCUGCAUUAUCCUUUCAUUAUUCGGUUUUUUAAUCAAUUUUUGUUCAUUGUCCAUAAUCUGUCUCAGAAUCUCUUUUGUCCUUCUUUCUUUGUUUUUUCUUUUCCACACAUUUUGUUGAAUAAAAAGGCCCCUCAUUACUGCCUUACUUGCAUCCCAUACCACACUUAUUUUCACCCCUUUAUCUAAAUUAUCCAAAAAAUAUUCAAAUAGUUUCUUCCGUAUUUUUCAACGAACUUUUGAUCAUCCCAUAGGUUAUCAUUCAGCCUCCAUCUGAAAGUACGUUCUUCAGCUCCCUUCAUCUCCAUUUCUAUUGGGUUAUGAUCAGAAACAACUUUGGCCUGGAUUUCAAUUUUUGGAUUCUUGGUGUCAAUUCAUUUGAUAUCCAUAUUUGAUCUAUUCUUGACAUUGAUUGGUUCGGUUCUGAGUGAUAUGUAAAUUGUUUCUCCAGAGGGUGCCUAAGUCUCCAAAUAUCUAUUAAAUUACAAUUCUUGGUCAUCAUAAAGAAUGUCUUAGGUAACUUUCCUUCUUUGUUCUUCGUUUUCCUUAAUCUGUCCAUUUCAAUUGAAACCACCCCGUUCAUGUCUCCCAUUAUUAUGAUUUUUUGGUCCAUAUGUUCAAAUAGCUUCUCUUCCAAUAAUCUAAAGAACUCUGUUUUGUUUCCAUUUGGUGCGUAAAUCCCGAUUAUUAUCAAUAUUUCACCUUGCCAUUUAAUACGAACCGCUAUUAUUCUUCCUUCCUCAUCCUUAAAUAAUUGGUGAGAUUCAAUUUUAUUUUUAAUGUAAAGUACUACACCUCUUUUUUCUCUUUAUCCGAAGAUAUGAAUUCAUUCCCUAACCUCUUAUUGAUAAGAAUUUUCCUAUGCUUCUUGGCCACAUGUGUUUCUUGAAGGCAUAUGAUGUCCAAGUUCUUCUUUUUUAGAAUACGUUCAAUUCCGUUCCGUUUUUUCUUAUCGUUCAUUCCAUUAAUGUUCCAGUUCCAUAAUUUUAACGUCAUUUUCCUUACCACUGAUCGAGUUUGAAUUUUAUCCUAUAUUCUUUCUAUCUCUUCUCCUUCUUCCUCUUCUUCGUCUUCCUCAAAUUUUCCUCCGUUCUGUUCUUCUUCUUCUCCCAAUUCUGGUUCCUCCCUCAGUCUUAGUCCGCCCUCUGCUCCUUUAAGCUCCUCCUCUCCCUGUUGAAGCUCUUUAUAUCUUCUUGUGAACUUUCCUAUUUCCUCGGGGCUUGUCAAUCUUCUUUUAACUCCUUUAUAAAAGAAUGAGACACCUUCCGGAAAUUCCCAUCGAAAGUCAAUCCUAUUUUUCUUAAGCAGUUGCACCAGUGGUUUAUACGGUUCUCUUCGUUUCAGCAGCCUUAUUGGAAUAUCUUUAAAUAUAAUUAUGUAGUUUCCAUCGAUAUAUAGUCUCUUCUCUCUAUUCCUUUGCAAAAUCAGGUUUCUCAUCUCUCUAUCUUUAAAUGUAACUAAACAGUCCCCUGGAACUUUCUUUACCCUGUUUGAUUUAAUUUUCAUUCUGUAUGCAUUUUGUAUUGUCUUCGCCACAGCUUCUUCCGCCAACUCCAUCCACUGCGCUAUUUCUUUUGUUAGUCUUUCUUUUAUAUUUUCAUUUUGUACUUCCGGAAUUUGCCUUAAUCUUAAAUUAACUUCUCUCUGUUUUAGUUCGUUCAUUGCAAUAGAAUCUUUUAUUUCUUCCUGCAUUUUAUUUAAAUCUGCUAUCUCAUUUCUCAUUUUUUCUUCUUCCCGCUUCAUUUCUUUCAUUUCCUGUUUAGUCUUUUUUAAUCCUUCAUCCACUCUUUUUGAGACCUCCUUGAUCUGUCCUUUCAAUUCACUUACUGUCUCCUCAAUCUUUUUGUCCAUUUUCCCAAUUUUAUUAUCCACCUGUUCUAAUUUUAUCUCUAAGUUUUUCUCACUUUGUUUUAUUUCUGCAAACAUCCUCAAUAUUUCUGUUCUAAAUUCUGUUUCUUGUUUAGAGGCUCUCCUAUCUGUUGGGGUUCCUCCCUCCACCCCUUUUUUUUUGCGUAUGUGACAUUAUUUUAAAUCUCAAAAUGUCGUAUAUUUCCACUAAAUAUUUCUUGUCUUUCCUGUCCUUCCUGUACAAAUAUUCUUAUACUUGCUAUUAGAUAAUAUUAAGUUGACCACCAAAAGUAGUAUAUACAACCCUAUAUAGAAUGACCACCAGUAAUACCAAAUACCCAGAAACCUAGGUAUUACAAAUCGCGACUACUUAGCCUCCACUCAAUAUGUUUAAAUGUUAUCCCUUCCCCCUAAACUUCGAGGGAAGGUGGUUGUCUGUUGGUUCUGAUAAUGUUCUGUUUAAUAAUCUUCUUGCCCCUAUUCGGGCUAAUCCAACCAACGCUUUGGUAAACACAGUCCCAAUUUAUAAGUUUGUAAAUCCGAAUGUAGUUCAGGUAGAAAUAACAGAGAUUUUGGGAGAACUCCACUUAUAACUUCAGAGGUACACCAAAUUCAAAUGUUAAUUUAAGUAUAAUUGUCAAUAUUCAUAUUAGUUAUUCCUUAACCACAUAUGUUCAUGCUGAGUAGAUUGAUGAGUUUAGUCCGACAGGGGGGGAGGCCUCUCCAGAGCAGUUAUCUUCUUUACUUCGUUAAGCCUCAAAAGCCUCAGCUGAGGUUUUCCAGAAUUAGGAUGUAAUAUUUGGCUUACGCCACAGGAGGGAGUCAGCCUCUUUCAAACUUAGGGGAAGUUUCUUAAUUAUUUUUUCAACUACCCUCCUUAUAUUCUUUUCUCUUUCAAUGUCUUAUAUACCGAGAUGACGAAGAAAAUUAUUAAACAAAAGGAAACCCCAAAACGUCGACCCAAAGUACCUUGAGGUGUUUUGUCUUCUCUUUCUAUACGUCUUUUAGAACCACUUGAUAUGGCGUCUGAAGCUCCUCUCCACCCCCACUUAAUAUGGCGUUGAAAAAUCUUCUCAAUACCUUAUCUUCUUCACAUAAAUCUUAACAAUAGUCCUCUUUGUAUUCCAAUUACCUCAGUCACACUAUCGACUGGGUUUUCUCUUCUAUCACCACACUUCUCUGCUCCCCCUUAGCUUUCUCCCUUUCUCUUUUAUCUUUUAAACUUGGAUAAACGGGAGAGACGGAAACAGUAGCCGCUAGCGGUAACUUACUUUCUCUUUCGGCUCUGCAUGCAGCGCUGCGUCUUUUUCAAUGAAGUCAAACCGGCGCUGAACUCGGACUCUUCUCUUUUUACUCGGAGACUUCCUUAUCUUUUUCCCCCCUUCGCGUUGUUAUAAAGACUGAGUUCUGAAUCCGAGUUUCUUUAUCUCGAGAGCGGGGCGCUAAUCCUUGCAGGCUCGGGGCUUCGCUGGUUCGCCGCUAUAAUGGCUGCCCAAUUACCCACUGCUCGUUCUGUCGCUCUCUUCACCUUUAUUCAAAGGCUACCUGACGACUGGACGAACAGCUUCCAGGCACUGCCGGGCACCUAGACCUCUAGACACCCUCCAGAGGUUUAGCGGGAGGUUUUUUUCGCCCUAAAAACCUCCAAAAUCGGCCGAAACAGCUAGGGCUCUCUCCGCAGAAAAAACCCUCGCCUGCAACAGGUUCCGCGCUCCACCGGAAGUCC
Podarcis lilfordi (Lilford's wall lizard) is the source of this 3676-nucleotide non-coding RNA. The record is from the annotation of a GenBank genome assembly. NCBI's taxonomy places the organism in Eukaryota, Metazoa, Chordata, Lepidosauria, Squamata, Lacertidae.